CAGUAGCCGCGGUAAUACAGAGGGUGCGAGCGUUAAUCGGAUUUACUGGGCGUAAAGCGUGCGUAGGCGGCUUUUUAAGUCGGAUGUGAAAUCCCUGAGCUUAACUUAGGAAUUGCAUUCGAUACUGGGAAGCUAGAGUAUGGGAGAGGAUGGUAGAAUUCCAGGUGUAGCGGUGAAAUGCGUAGAGAUCUGGAGGAAUACCGAUGGCGAAGGCAGCCAUCUGGCCUAAUACUGACGCUGAGGUACGAAAGCAUGGGGAGCAAACAGGAUUAGAGACCCCAGUAGUCCCUGUCUCUUAUAA
This 301-nucleotide ribosomal RNA is filed under the name uncultured bacterium. RNAcentral describes it as "partial 16S ribosomal RNA". It matches the Rfam family "Bacterial small subunit ribosomal RNA", at positions 509 to 809 of the family's 1533-position model. The record is from RNAcentral.